RNAcentral lists this ribosomal RNA (254 nucleotides) under uncultured bacterium. RNAcentral describes it as "partial 16S ribosomal RNA". It matches the Rfam family "Bacterial small subunit ribosomal RNA", at positions 524 to 776 of the family's 1533-position model. The record is from RNAcentral.
UACGAAGGGUGCGAGCGUUGUUCGGAAUUAUUGGGCGUAAAGCGCACGUAGGCGGCCUUGUAAGUCUCACUGUGAAAGCCCGGGGCUCAACCCCGGGAGGCCAGGGGAUACUGCGAGGCUGGAGACAAGCAGAGGUUGGUAGAAUUCCGGGUGUAGCGGUGGAAUGCGUAGAGAUCCGGAGGAAUACCAGAGGCGAAGGCGGCCAACUGGGCUUGUUCUGACGCUGAGGUGCGAAAGCGUAGGGAGCGAACAGG